Molecule: ribosomal RNA, 253 nt
Filed under: uncultured bacterium
Lineage: Bacteria
Description: partial 16S ribosomal RNA
Rfam family: Bacterial small subunit ribosomal RNA
Source: RNAcentral
UACGUAGGGUGCAAGCGUUAAUCGGAAUUACUGGGCGUACAGCGUGCGCAGGCGGUUUUGUAAGUCUGUCGUGAAAGCCCCGGGCUCAACCUGGGAAUUGCGAUGGAGACUGCAAGGCUUGAAUCUGGCAGAGGGGGGUAGAAUUCCACGUGUAGCAGUGAAAUGCGUAGAGAUGUGGAGGAACACCGAUGGCGAAGGCAGCCCCCUGGGUCAAGAUUGACGCUCAUGCACGAAAGCGUGGGGAGCAAACAGG